GCUCCUACGGGAGGCAGCAGUGAGGAAUAUUGGCCAAUGGCCGAGAGGCUGAACCAGCCAAGUCGCGUGAGGGAUGACGGCCCUACGGGUUGUAAACCUCUUUUGUCGGGGAGCAAAGAGAGUCACGUGUGACUCAUUGAGAGUACCCGAAGAAAAAGCAUCGGCUAACUACGUGCCAGCAGCCGCGGUAAUACGUAGGGUGCGAGCGUUAAUCGGAAUUACUGGGCGUAAAGGGUGCGCAGGCGGUUGAGUAAG
This 255-nucleotide ribosomal RNA is filed under the name uncultured bacterium. RNAcentral describes it as "partial 16S ribosomal RNA". It matches the Rfam family "Bacterial small subunit ribosomal RNA", at positions 335 to 587 of the family's 1533-position model. The record is from RNAcentral.